This 253-nucleotide ribosomal RNA is filed under the name uncultured bacterium. Its description in RNAcentral is "partial 16S ribosomal RNA". It matches the Rfam family "Bacterial small subunit ribosomal RNA", at positions 524 to 776 of the family's 1533-position model. The record is from RNAcentral.
UACGUAGGGAGCAAGCGUUGUCCGGAAUCAUUGGGCGUAAAGCGCGCGUAGGUGGCCUCGUAAGUCCGCUGUGAAAGUCCAAGGCUCAACCUUGGAAAGCCGGUGGAUACUGUGAGGCUAGAGUACGGAAGAGGCGAGUGGAAUUCCUGGUGUAGCGGUGGAAUGCGCAGAUAUCAGGAGGAACACCAAUAGCGAAGGCAGCUCGCUGGGACGUUACUGACACUGAGGCGCGAAAGCGUGGGGAGCAAACAGG